GGGUGCUUUUCUCAGACUCGGGCUGGUGGAGCGCGUCUGGCUAGUCUCGGAGCUCCCGACUUGGAGCUCCCGGUCAGCACGACGCGUCCCCAGCAGCAGACCGGACGGCUGGCUGCUGCGAAGGGUACAGACUCUCCCCACGCGACUCCCGGUGUGGCGCCGGCCUCCAGAGAGGACGUGGAAAAUGUAACCGCGAGCCUGCGGGCCGGGCGCCAUGCCUGGGCGGGCUCUCCAGAGCCGCGCAAGCGGACUUAGAAAAUACUGUGCCCUCAGGUGUGGGCUGAAAAACUGCAACCAUGAAAGUGCUUCCCUUGUAGGUGAAAUGGCCACCAGACCGAGGCUUUCUGGAAUGCAUUCAUUCUCUGCAGUUGAAAGGGAUGAUCCUGGAUCUGAAAGAAAGAGCCACAGUGACUCCAAGAGUGGAGCCAGGGCAUGCUGGACACUGCACAGCUAUGGCCAUGUGUGUCACCACCGAGGGAGAUGUGAGAGAAACGCAGAGGGAUUGCUUGUGACUGUGCCUUCUCGAUGUACGAUGGACCAUUCUGCUCAAAUAGCCUUCAAGGGAUGAUGUGAGGUCCACCUACAAGGCAGAGAGCAAUCUGCUUCACUCAGUCAUACCUGGGAGGCUUCACGACUUCUGAGGAGGAUGUUAAACUUCCUUCAGACAUGGAAUUAAAUUUUGAUUCGAUUUUAUCCAACUGUCUUGGGAAAAGGGGAAUGCUUCACCCAAUGGUGGUUUAAAUUAUUUUGUGAUAAUCAUUAUAAAAAUGUGUCUAUCUGUGGACAAAAAGAAACAAAGAAUGAGCCAAAUACAUAAUUGGAAAUUCACAAAAAUGUUAGCUUUAUAUAGACAUAAUCUGAUAAGCUUAGAAAUUUUUAAAAAAUGCCUUUCAAAUAAGCUCAGUGUUUACAAUAGUCUUGUUGUUUCUUUUACUUAUCAAAGGCUCUGUCUUCUGAGGAUAUUCAAACCUUGAGUUUCAUGGGCCCUGCCUGUGAGAAAAUGUGCAUUUUCCACAUAAAAUCCAUUGCCUUGUCAGAUAAUUUACAACUCGCCAUGUUUAAGCAGACUCUUUAUUUAAAUCUAGAAGAUUUAUCACACAGCAAGUUCAACCUCAGGAAUUCCAUAUAAGUCCACAAGAACACGUGUCUAAAAACUGUUGAGAAAGUAAAUUCAAUGAUGAAAACUGUAAUUUAUAUCAAGGAUGAGAAAUACACUCUUUGUAGGGUCUAUUGUCGAUGACUAAUAUAUGAAGAAUUAAAGCAGUUGAUCAUCUAAAUAGUGCUACGCAUGGAUCUGUUUCCAUUGGCAUGUGGACAAGAACAUGUGUCAGUAAAAAAAGAGUUUUGAAAUAAAUCUCAUGUAUUAUGAUUGUUUAAUUUUCUCUAAUAAAAUGUAAACAUGUAUUAAUUCUUGGAAAAUAAUUUUGAAUAGAGGUAUUGAGGAAAGAAAGACCCUCUCAUAUUGUUUUAUAUUGUUUUAUACUCAGUACCUGUUUAAAGAAAAAAACAAGGAAGUAAAACCAAAGACAGGCAGCCUGGCACCAGUCCCAAAACCAGGCCUGGGCCGGCCUGGCCUAAACCCAGUAGUUAAAAAUCACCUUCUAACUUAGAAACCGAUGUUAUUCAUAGAUUCCUGACAUUGUAUAGAAGAGCACUGUGAAACUCCCGGCCCUGUUCUGUUUCUCUCUGACCACGGGUGCCUGCAGCCCCUGUCACGUACCCCCUGCUUGCUCAAAUCAAUCACGACGCUUUCCUGUGAAAUCUUUAGUGUUGUGAGCCCUUAAAAAGGACAGAAAUUGUGCACUCAGGGAGCUGGGCUUUUAAGGCAGUAGCUUGCUGAUGCUCCCAGCUGAAUAAAGCCCUU
Long non-coding RNA from Macaca fascicularis (crab-eating macaque), 1864 nucleotides. The record is from Ensembl. Lineage: Eukaryota; Metazoa; Chordata; Mammalia; Primates; Cercopithecidae.